GACGAACGCUGGCGGCGUGCCUAAUACAUGCAAGUCGAACGAACUCUGGUAUUGAUUGGUGCUUGCAUCAUGAUUUACAUUUGAGUGAGUGGCGAACUGGUGAGUAACACGUGGGAAACCUGCCCAGAAGCGGGGGAUAACACCUGGAAACAGAUGCUAAUACCGCAUAACAACUUGGACCGCAUGGUCCGAGUUUGAAAGAUGGCUUCGGCUAUCACUUUUGGAUGGUCCCGCGGCGUAUUAGCUAGAUGGUGGGGUAACGGCUCACCAUGGCAAUGAUACGUAGCCGACCUGAGAGGGUAAUCGGCCACAUUGGGACUGAGACACGGCCCAAACUCCUACGGGAGGCAGCAGUAGGGAAUCUUCCACAAUGGACGAAAGUCUGAUGGAGCAACGCCGCGUGAGUGAAGAAGGGUUUCGGCUCGUAAAACUCUGUUGUUAAAGAAGAACAUAUCUGAGAGUAACUGUUCAGGUAUUGACGGUAUUUAACCAGAAAGCCACGGCUAACUACGUGCCAGCAGCCGCGGUAAUACGUAGGUGGCAAGCGUUGUCCGGAUUUAUUGGGCGUAAAGCGAGCGCAGGCGGUUUUUUAAGUCUGAUGUGAAAGCCUUCGGCUCAACCGAAGAAGUGCAUCGGAAACUGGGAAACUUGAGUGCAGAAGAGGACAGUGGAACUCCAUGUGUAGCGGUGAAAUGCGUAGAUAUAUGGAAGAACACCAGUGGCGAAGGCGGCUGUCUGGUCUGUAACUGACGCUGAGGCUCGAAAGUAUGGGUAGCAAACAGGAUUAGAUACCCUGGUAGUCCAUACCGUAAACGAUGAAUGCUAAGUGUUGGAGGGUUUCCGCCCUUCAGUGCUGCAGCUAACGCAUUAAGCAUUCCGCCUGGGGAGUACGGCCGCAAGGCUGAAACUCAAAGGAAUUGACGGGGGCCCGCACAAGCGGUGGAGCAUGUGGUUUAAUUCGAAGCUACGCGAAGAACCUUACCAGGUCUUGACAUACUAUGCAAAUCUAAGAGAUUAGACGUUCCCUUCGGGGACAUGGAUACAGGUGGUGCAUGGUUGUCGUCAGCUCGUGUCGUGAGAUGUUGGGUUAAGUCCCGCAACGAGCGCAUCCCUUAUUAUCAGUUGCCAGCAUUAAGUUGGGCACUCUGGUGAGACUGCCGGUGACAAACCGGAGGAAGGUGGGGAUGACGUCAAAUCAUCAUGCCCCUUAUGACCUGGGCUACACACGUGCUACAAUGGAUGGUACAACGAGUUGCGAACUCGCGAGAGUAAGCUAAUCUCUUAAAGCCAUUCUCAGUUCGGAUUGUAGGCUGCAACUCGCCUACAUGAAGUCGGAAUCGCUAGUAAUCGCGGAUCAGCAUGCCGCGGUGAAUACGUUCCCGGGCCUUGUACACACCGCCCGUCACACCAUGAGAGUUUGUAACACCCAAAGUCGGUGGGGUAACCUUUUAGGAACCAGCCGCCUAAGGUGGGACAGAUGAUUAGGGUGAAG
RNAcentral lists this ribosomal RNA (1492 nucleotides) under Lactiplantibacillus pentosus. RNAcentral describes it as "bacterial SSU rRNA". It matches the Rfam family "Bacterial small subunit ribosomal RNA". The record is from RNAcentral. Lineage: Bacteria; Bacillati; Bacillota; Bacilli; Lactobacillales; Lactobacillaceae.